AAAGAAACCAACAGGGAUUGCCCUAGUAACGGCGAGUGAAGCGGCAACAGCUCAAAUUUGAAAUCUGGCGUAAGCCCGAGUUGUAAUUUGUAGAGGAUGCUUCUGGGUAGCGGCCGGUCUAAGUUCCUUGGAACAGGACGUCAUAGAGGGUGAGAAUCCCGUAUGUGACUGGCCCGCACCCUCCACGAAGCUCCUUCGACGAGUCGAGUUGUUUGGGAAUGCAGCUCUAAAUGGGAGGUAAAUUUCUUCUAAAGCUAAAUACUGGCCAGAGACCGAUAGCGCACAAGUAGAGUGAUCGAAAGAUGAAAAGCACUUUGGAAAGAGAGUUAAAAAGCACGUGAAAUUGUUGAAAGGGAAGCGCCCGCAACCAGACUUUGCGGCGGUGUUCGGCUGGUCUUCUGACCGGUUUACUCACCGCCGUGAGGCCAUCAUCGUCUGGGACCGCUGGAUAAGACCUGAGGAAUGUAGCUCCCUUCGGGGUGUAUUAUAGCCUCUAGUGAUGCAGCGCGUCUCGGGCGAGGUCCGCGCUCCGGCAAGGAUGAUGGCGUAAUGGUUGUCGGCGGCCCGUCUUGA
RNAcentral lists this ribosomal RNA (573 nucleotides) under Pseudocercospora musae. RNAcentral's name for it is "eukaryotic LSU rRNA". It matches the Rfam family "Eukaryotic large subunit ribosomal RNA", at positions 58 to 657 of the family's 3401-position model. Lineage: Eukaryota; Fungi; Ascomycota; Dothideomycetes; Mycosphaerellales; Mycosphaerellaceae. The record is from RNAcentral.